RNAcentral lists this ribosomal RNA (373 nucleotides) under uncultured bacterium. Its description in RNAcentral is "bacterial SSU rRNA". It matches the Rfam family "Bacterial small subunit ribosomal RNA", at positions 525 to 896 of the family's 1533-position model. The record is from RNAcentral.
ACGUAGGUGGCAAGCGUUAUCCGGAAUUACUGGGCGUAAAGCGCACGCAGGUGGUUGGGUAAGAUUGACGUGAAAGCUUCUGGCUUAACUGGAAGAGGUCGUUGAUGACUGCUCGACUUGAGACGAGGAGAGGGGUGCAGAAUUCCCGGUGUAGUGGUGGAAUGCGUAGAUAUCGGGAGGAAUACCAGUGGCGAAAGCGGCACCCUGGCCUUAGUCUGACGCUCAGGUGCGAAAGCGUGGGGAGCGAACGGGAUUAGAUACCCCGGUAGUCCACGCUGUAAACGAUGAACACUAGGUGUAGGUGGUGUCAAAACCGUCGGUACCGAAGCCAACGCGAUAGGUGUUCCGCCUGGGGAGUACGACCGCAAGGUUA